Lactarius akahatsu is the source of this 80-nucleotide non-coding RNA. The record is from the annotation of a GenBank genome assembly. NCBI's taxonomy places the organism in Eukaryota, Fungi, Basidiomycota, Agaricomycetes, Russulales, Russulaceae.
GACUUGUUGGAGUAGUGGUUAAAUGCUCAACUUGGAAAAUAUGUCAGCUGAUGUCCUUGGUUCAAAUCCCAGACAAUGCU